GAUGAACGCUGGCGGCGUGCCUAAUACAUGCAAGUCGAGCGAACAGAUGAGGAGCUUGCUCCUCUGACGUUAGCGGCGGACGGGUGAGUAACACGUGGAUAACCUACCUAUAAGACUGGGAUAACUUCGGGAAACCGGAGCUAAUACCGGAUAAUAUAUUGAACCGCAUGGUUCAAUAGUGAAAGACGGUUUUGCUGUCACUUAUAGAUGGAUCCGCGCCGCAUUAGCUAGUUGGUAAGGUAACGGCGUACCAAGGCAACGAUGCGUAGCCGACCUGAGAGGGUGAUCGGCCAGACUGGAACUGAGACACGAUCCAGACUCCUACAGGAGGCAGCAGUAGAGAAGCUUCCGCAAUGGGCGAAAGCCUGACGGAGCAACGCCGCGUGAGUGAUGAAGGUCUUCGGAUCGUAAAACUCUGUUAUUAGGGAAGAACAAAUGUGUAAGUAACUAUGCACGUCUUGACGGUACCUAAUCAGAAAGCCACGGCUAACUACGUG
This 497-nucleotide ribosomal RNA is filed under the name uncultured bacterium. RNAcentral's name for it is "partial 16S ribosomal RNA". It matches the Rfam family "Bacterial small subunit ribosomal RNA", at positions 28 to 507 of the family's 1533-position model. The record is from RNAcentral.